This 253-nucleotide ribosomal RNA is filed under the name uncultured bacterium. Its description in RNAcentral is "partial 16S ribosomal RNA". It matches the Rfam family "Bacterial small subunit ribosomal RNA", at positions 524 to 776 of the family's 1533-position model. The record is from RNAcentral.
UACGGAGGGUGCUAGCGUUGUUCGGAAUUACUGGGCGUAAAGGGCGCGUAGGCGGCCGUUUGCGUCGGAUGUGAAAGCCCGGGGCUCAACCUCGGAACGGCAUUCGAUACGGGACGGCUGGAGACCGGGAGAGGAGAGUGGAAUAGCCAGUGUAGAGGUGAAAUUCGUAGAUAUUGGCUGGAACACCGGUGGCGAAAGCGGCUCUCUGGCCCGGUUCUGACGCUGAGCCGCGAAAGCCAGGGGAGCGAACGGG